Molecule: long non-coding RNA, 611 nt
Filed under: Mytilus galloprovincialis (Mediterranean mussel)
Lineage: Eukaryota; Metazoa; Mollusca; Bivalvia; Mytilida; Mytilidae
Source: RNAcentral
UUUUGUCGUAAGCUUUUAGAAUUGUUUGAUUAUGAAUCUCAAAAUACAGGAUUUUAUAUCAGUUACAUACAUUACAUAUAAAAAUGGCAUUGAAAGGUCAUAAUCUUAUUUAUUAAAGAUCACAUAAAUGUCAACGGAACAUUGUACUCUUUAGGUGUAAUACCACCAUUGAUUUUCCCCAAUUAGUCUUUGUUAAAUUUGCACUUUUCAAAACCAGCUGCAGAAAUUAUCUUUGUUUCAAAUAAAAAAAUCCUGUCCAGUACUAUAGACAAAAUUUCACAUACCAUUUCACAUGUUUCAUUGUGUAUAAGAAAAUAACCAUUGCUGGAAAUUAACCAACCAAAUUUAUUUUUCAAAUUUUGUAAGGAUUAUCAGAUAAAAUGAACUUUAAAACAAACAUUAGUCUUUACAGUAAACAAUUAUGUACAACCGUAAGGAUUAUUAAAUAAAAAGAUUUUUGAAACAAAAAUUAGUCUUGACAGAAGUCCCAGUAAAUAAUUAUGUACAACAAAAUCUCAUCCAAGAUCUCAAUUAUAUUUUGAAAUGUUACGAAGGUUAUAAAUAAUCUAGUAUCAGUUAGUUUGUUGUAAUAAAUUUUUACCAAAAAUUAC